RNAcentral lists this long non-coding RNA (1247 nucleotides) under Felis catus (domestic cat). Its description in RNAcentral is "lncRNA (ENSFCAG00000052506.1)". The record is from RNAcentral. Lineage: Eukaryota; Metazoa; Chordata; Mammalia; Carnivora; Felidae.
CCGCUGUUGCGCGCGAUGGCCAUUCCCAGGGCUCAGCGCUCCAGUCUUACGCAACAGUUUGCAGAACCCACUGUUGAUUUAGGGAUUUGGGGAGCCUUACUUAAAAUUAAGUAAACACAUGAACAAGGGAGUCACUGUCUUUAGAAUAGGACUGUCAUCUGUGACCAGUUCAUCCGUUAAUGCCCGAGUUUCACUGUGUUUUUUACCAGAUCCUCUUUGCACGCGUCUCCGCGCCUCGAACGCCGUCCUGCUCCUGCUCCUGCUCCGGGCAGAGGAACAAAGGGGAGCAGCUGAGGUUCUCUCUGGGCUGGUCCCCAGGAGCUGCCGGUGGAAUGGGUCUGCGGGGGCCCGAGGACUGACAGGUGAGGCCCCCGCAGGGCCUGCGUAGCUUGCCUUUCGCACGUGCUGGUAGGGGAGGGAUGGGAAAGAAUGUUCCGGAAGGCCUGCAGCUGGGCAUUUGGUGAAGGUGACGUGCUGGUGGGGUCCGCAAGGCUCUGGGCCUGGACCCUCCCACCUGCCUGCAGCCCAGCGUGGGGAGGAGCUGGACCAUUGUAACCCCCACCCCCAGUUUUGGCCUGAACACGGGGGCACAAAUCUCUCGAUUUGGGUGGCAAAGCUUCCCUCAGACGCUGCUCUAAAAUGUGCACACGCCUGCUUCUUUUCGGGACAGGAGAGCUUGGACUCUGACAAACUACACAUUUCAAUUUAUUUAUGUUCUAGAACGGCUAAUUAUAAGGACAUGUGGCCACCAGGAGCGACGUGAUUAUUUAUGCUGCUCUCGCCCCGUGGUCUCCACCAGAAGGGGGGUCUGAGGCAGCUGGGGCCCCAGGGCCUUUGUUGGCAGGGCUCUGGGCUGCUUCUAAGCCUUCGGACCGUCCAGACCGAGGUCCAGCAGUCACCUCAUUUCAGGGGCUUGUAUCUGUGCUGUUUGUCGGGACCCCAGACACGGCCCCAAAAUUGCACCGUGAGUGAGCUUCCCGGGGCCCCGUCUCCAACUUCUCACGCACCUGCAGACACUGCGAAUUCGAUGCUGGCCCUCUAACAGCAGAGUCCAGAGCCUCCCGUCCAUGACCUUGCCUGCUUGCACACAGGCCCUUCCAGGGUUUUCUGCAGGGCUGCGGAUGUGAGGGUCGCUCCUCCUUCUCCACCCCUCCCCUCCCCUCCCCUCUCCUCCCCUCCCUUGCCCUCCCCCGCCCCUCCCUUCCCCUGCCCUCCCCUCCCCUCCCCUCCUCCACCCCGCCCCUCCC